RNAcentral lists this long non-coding RNA (1044 nucleotides) under Cricetulus griseus (Chinese hamster). Its description in RNAcentral is "lncRNA (ENSCGRG00015032783.1)". The record is from RNAcentral. Lineage: Eukaryota; Metazoa; Chordata; Mammalia; Rodentia; Cricetidae.
CGCCUAUGCGCUCGGGGGCCCGCGCCCGCUCCGGCCUGGGCCGCCAGAAAGUUUUUUAGUUCCGCUUGCAAUGAAAACUUUUCUCUGUCUGUCUCUCUGUCUCUCUCUCCCUCACUCUCUUGUUUUUCCUCUCUAACCCGGAUAUGGGGGGGAAAUGCACGACUUGCCUGAGCCUAUCGGGCCCAGCGCGGCGUGAGGGAGCCGAGCGAGCCGGAGCAACUAUUAUCCGCUUCUCUCCGAGGGCUGCUGCGCACUCGCAAAACGCGGACUGGACUCGGCCCUCGGCGCCGCCGCCGCUGCCGCCUCGCCCAGCCUGGCUCACUGGACCCGGCCCGGGGGAGAGGGGGGCGCAGGCUGCCGGCACUCGCUCGCGGCCCGGAGCUGCUCUUUCCCCUCGUGCCUCCGGUCUCCUUGCCAACCCGCGUCCCUGUGUUUGUUUUCACGUCUAAAGGGAGCGCUACGAAGGUGGAGAACGAGUCUGACGAGCAGACAAAAGAGGGAGAAGGGGCUGGGAAGCAAAGUUGUCUUGUUGGGCCUCCCGAGGUGGCCAUCGGCGUAAUUCCCACAACUUCAUCCAACUGGAAAUUAGGAAACACUCAGUGAAGGUUAAGCCGCAAAGACUGCUGUGCCCGGUACACAGCAGGCGCUCAAUAAUUGCUUAUGAUUCACUACUUCGACCCCCAAGACUUGCCGAGAGUCUACUUCCUGCCGUGUCCAAAAAAAGGAAAACGUGUUACCUUUGCCCAGUCCUGAAUAGGGAUCAACUAUAAACAUUUGCACCAAAACACAGUGAAGUCAGCCCUUUAGUGUUCCAGAGGACUUGAUCAGUGAAGAGCUGAGCUUAGAUUUCCUCACGGAGGACACCUAACAGAGCUGUCUGUUGGCAGCCCCUAUCAGACAUCUAACCCUCCAUCCACACAGCUCUGCCAACACUAAGGCCACCAGUCCUAGGUUGUACUUCCAGAAGCCUAUGUAAACUUUGUCUCCAAAGACUCUGGGAACACAUGGCAACACUGGAUCAUAUGAAGAAACACCUUACUGCAU